This 459-nucleotide ribosomal RNA is filed under the name uncultured bacterium. RNAcentral describes it as "partial 16S ribosomal RNA". It matches the Rfam family "Bacterial small subunit ribosomal RNA", at positions 338 to 795 of the family's 1533-position model. The record is from RNAcentral.
CCUACGGGUGGCAGCAGUGAGGAAUAUUGGUCAAUGGUCGGGAGACUGAACCAGCCAAGCCGCGUGAGGGAUGAAGGUACAGAGUAUCGUAAACCUCUUUUGUCAGGGAACAAUGGCGGGGAUGUGUCCCCGGAUGAGUGUACCUGAAGAAAAAGCAUCGGCUAACUCCGUGCCAGCAGCCGGGGUAAUACGGAGGAUGCGAGCGUUAUCCGGAUUUGUUGGGUUUAAGGGGUGCGCAGGCGGUCUUUAAAGUCAGCGUAAAAAACCGGGGGCUCAACCCCGGCCCGCCGUUGAAACUGGCAGUCUCGAGUUGGAGAGAAGUAUGCGGAAUGCGCGGUGUAGCGGUGAAAUGCAUAGAUAUCGCGCAGAACUCCGAUUGCGAAGGUAGCAUGCCGGCUCCACACUGACGCUGAGGCACGAAAGCGUGGGUAUCGAACAGGAUUAGAUACCCGUGUAGUC